RNAcentral lists this ribosomal RNA (741 nucleotides) under uncultured dinoflagellate. RNAcentral's name for it is "SSU rRNA". It matches the Rfam family "Eukaryotic small subunit ribosomal RNA", at positions 649 to 1410 of the family's 1831-position model. The record is from RNAcentral. Lineage: Eukaryota; Dinophyceae.
UUGCGGAAAACUGGUCCGUCUAUCGGGCGGUAUUUAGAUUUUGCGUUUCAUCUUCUUGAAAAGCUUUGCUGUGCUUGAUUGCAUGGUGUGGGAAUCAGGACAUUUACUUUGAGGAAUUUAGAGUGUUUCAAGCAGGUUUGUGCUGAAAUAGCCUAGCAUGGAAUAAUAACAUGGGGUCUUGGUCUUGUUUGUUGGUUUCUAGGCUGAGGAAACAAUCAAUAGGGAUAGCUGGGGGCAUUUGUACUUAACUGUCAGAGGUGAAAUUCUUGGAUUUGUUAAAGACAAACUACUGCGAAAGCAUUUGUCAAGGAUGUUUUCAUUGAUCAAGAACGAAAGUUAAGGGAUCGAAGACGAUCAGAUACCGUCCUAGUCUUAACCAUAAACAAUGCCAUCUAGAGAUUGGAGGUAGUGCCAAGGAUUACUUCUUCAGCAUCAUUUGAGAAAUCAAAGCUUUUGGGUUCCGGGGGGAGUAUGGUCGCAAAGGCAUGAAACUUAAAGGAAGUUGACGGAAGGGCACCACCACGGAGUGGAGCCUGCGGCUUCAUUUGACUCAACACGGGAAAACUCACCAGAACCAGACAUACACAGGAUUGACAGAUUGAUAGCUCUUUCUUGAUUUUAUGGGUGGUGGUGCAUGGCCGUUCUUAGUUGGUGGAGUGAUCUGUCUGGUUAAUUCCGUUAACGAACGAGACCUUGUCUUACUAAAUAGUUACAUGUAACUUUGGUUACAUGGGCAGCUUC